GGCUGGUCCCAGUCAGUGGUGUUUACAACUAACUGAUCACUACCACUUACAGAUUCCUUUGUUCCCUCUUCUCUCCCGCUGCUUCACUUGACUAGCCUUNN
Molecule: Y RNA, 101 nt
Filed under: Propithecus coquereli (Coquerel's sifaka)
Lineage: Eukaryota; Metazoa; Chordata; Mammalia; Primates; Indriidae
Description: Y RNA (ENSPCOG00000003225.1)
Rfam family: Y RNA
About the family: Y RNAs are components of the Ro ribonucleoprotein particle (Ro RNP), in association with Ro60 and La proteins. The Y RNAs and Ro60 and La proteins are well conserved, but the function of the Ro RNP is not known. In humans the RNA component can be one of four small RNAs -- hY1, hY3, hY4 and hY5.
Source: Rfam by way of RNAcentral